GAUCUGGUCCGAUGGAUGUAUCACAGACCAACUUUCACCUCGUGAUUCGUGCAUCAACAAAAACCCCAUCUCUGUCUUAAAACCCACAGUAACCCCUUAUGACUACAUUACUGUUUUGCUCUACUGUUUCACUCUCUCUUCAAGUUCUUUCUGCUUACAAAGUCAAACAAUCUUGUUGAAUUUAAGCUGUUUCUUUGUGUGAUUCAUCUAGACUAGCCUGCUAGGGUUUGAAAAAUGUCACCUUGCCUUUCAAAUCACACUCAGGAGCCUCUCAUUGCAUCUUCUGCAACUCUGGGUUCUUCAAACACAAAAAUGGUAGUGACCCUUUUGAGGUCCCGAAGUAGCGGUGAUGCUUUGGGAAUUUUGCAUUGUCGGAAGCUUGAAGAUAACUAGUGAGAAAUUGGUCUCCUGCAGCUUUACUGGAACAUGUAAGCUGCCAAGUCUACUAGAAGUAGUAGGGAAUGAAGCCAUCGGUCCGCCAAUUAUAUCACUGUUAAAAUUAUUGUAUCAUAUUGACAUUUUAUGAAAUAGGAUUCCAAUAUGUUGUGGUUUAGAGCAAUUUUCCUGCAAAUUUUACCUUGAAUAGUUUCAUCUGAAUUUUGUAUCUUUGGUACAUUCGUGCUAGCCCUUAUUUAGCAAUAUCAUCACUCAAGGAAGUGUGGAUGCUAAUGCCACAUAAUUUUUGUAGCA
Long non-coding RNA from Daucus carota subsp. sativus, 690 nucleotides. RefSeq lists it as uncharacterized. The transcript is spliced from 2 exons. The record is from RefSeq and is a predicted model, not a curated record. Lineage: Eukaryota; Viridiplantae; Streptophyta; Magnoliopsida; Apiales; Apiaceae.